GACGUAGGGCGCGAGCGUUGUCCGGAUGUAUUGGGCGUAAAGAGCGUGUAGGCGGCCAGGUAGGUCCGUUGUGAAAACUCGAGGCUCAACCUCGAGACGUCGGCGGAAACCCUCUGGCUAGAGUCCGGAAGAGGAGAGUGGAAUUCCUGGUGUAGCGGUGAAAUGCGCAGAUAUCAGGAAGAACACCCGUGGCGAAGGCGGCUCUCUGGGACGGUACUGACGCUGAGACGCGAAAGCGUGGGGAGCAAACAGG
This 253-nucleotide ribosomal RNA is filed under the name uncultured bacterium. RNAcentral's name for it is "partial 16S ribosomal RNA". It matches the Rfam family "Bacterial small subunit ribosomal RNA", at positions 524 to 776 of the family's 1533-position model. The record is from RNAcentral.